GUUCGUAUGUUCACAGCGAAAAAAGGCAGAUUGAAAAUAGCAUUUAAUGAGAAAAUAUGCGGAUUCAAAUGGGCUGAAGUCUUUGAGGAACCGUUUUGUCUGAAGUACGAGCCGAUAGUAAAAUCUACCCGAGUGUUCGUGAAUCCCGUCCGUUGCAGCAGCAAAAGAAAAAGACUACUUAGAGGCUCUACACUACCAUUCUAAUAACAUUCAUUCACGUCUAUAUCUGUGGAGAUCUAUAAGGAGAUCCUGAGAAGAAAGGGCCUUGGAUUGAUGUUUGUUUUCAGCUAUAAAAAUAAUUCACUUGUGUCGACGAGUUUCUUGCUAGCAGAAAGUCGACAAGUUCACAGUUUACAACAAAAAGCGAACACAACCACACAAGCGACAAACAGAAAGCGACAAAAAACACUGCCAAGGUAAAACCAACCAAGGACUACCCGAAAGGCCAUGAUUGAUGCUGAAGGCUGGAAGGCAUGAGAAUAGGCAAAUGUCUUAAAGAUAAUAAAAUAGGGGAUUUCUAGCUUUGAUACAGCAGUAAAUGUGAAAUAGGCUUUUUGAGAGCAAAUACUUGCCCUCAAUGUUAAAUCUGAAAACAUUUUUUCUAUCAACCUAAAGAUAAUGAGGAAAGGGGAAAUGUUAGGAGAGUGCUCAACCAAGUUGUUUCAUUACUGAUGAUUUUUUUCAUAUAUGCUAUAGUCCAAUUUCUUCCUUUUCUCUCUCUCUCUCUAUUUGACAAUUUAUAUUAUUUGCUGUUUCCUCUCUGCACCCUAAAUAAAUUAAAAUAGGUAAUAGGUUUGAAAUUAGACAUUUUCAAUCAAUGUGUUCUCCUCUGUUUCUAUUAAAAAAAAAACAGCAGGCCGCCAUCCUGCAGGGUGGGUGCACCAAUGUCUAAUGCAUGACUGGAGGUAUGUUUGUGAAUUUUAAUUUCCUUGGUAAUGGAGUAUCACCAGUAAUAAGUGAUAUAUUAAUCUUCCAUAUGGCACCUGAAGUGUUUCUAACUAUAUCAUUCUAUCUUUGGAAUGCUGUUGCAUCAAUCAUUUGUUUCUUUGCAAGGGCAAAGCUGGUCAGAAUGUAGUUUUGAUACAAGUGUACAUUAAUGAAACUUCUAUCAAG
Molecule: long non-coding RNA, 1113 nt
Organism: Nematostella vectensis (starlet sea anemone)
Lineage: Eukaryota; Metazoa; Cnidaria; Anthozoa; Actiniaria; Edwardsiidae
Exons: 2
Source: RefSeq, a predicted model, not a curated record